AUUAUUCUUUUGAUGUUUAAUUACCGAUUUAUCAUUCUACAUAUGUAAAUCUACAUGAAUUAUUGGAUUAGGAUAUAAUUUAUUCUAAAUAAGACAACUCAAAAAAUUAAAUAAAAAUCAACCUUGUUUUUAUUUAAAACAAUGAACAUCGCAACGUUGUUAAGAUUUUAAGAGGAUUUUUGGAGGCACCAUUAAAAUUUAUAGCGCUGUUACUUUGUUUUCACUUUGUAAUUUUAUUAUUUUUUUUAAAUUACUGCUCGUUUUAUAAUUUUAAUGUAUUUUCAUAAUUCAUUCCAUCUGCCGAAUCAGAACAAAAAGAUAAUAAUUUUAAUAUUUUUUCUGUAAAUGC
This 349-nucleotide unclassified non-coding RNA is filed under the name Hevea brasiliensis (rubber tree). Lineage: Eukaryota; Viridiplantae; Streptophyta; Magnoliopsida; Malpighiales; Euphorbiaceae. The record is from RNAcentral.